AAGUCGUAACAAGGUCUCCGUUGGUGAACCAGCGGAGGGAUCAUUACUGAGUUCUACAAAAACUCCCAACCCUUUGUGGACCUUACCGUCGUUGCCUCGGCGCUGAGCGGCGGCUACCCGGGAGCUACCCUGUAGAUCACCUACCCUGUAGCUACCCUGUAGUUGUACUUUACGCUCCGCCGGUGGACUACCAAACUCUGUUUUUAAUGGUGUAUCUCUGAAAACAAAAACAAAAUAAGUUAAAA
RNAcentral lists this unclassified non-coding RNA (245 nucleotides) under plant metagenome. Its description in RNAcentral is "partial contains small subunit ribosomal RNA and internal transcribed spacer 1". The stretch from base 1 to 46 matches the Rfam family "Eukaryotic small subunit ribosomal RNA", at positions 1786 to 1831 of the family's 1831-position model. The record is from RNAcentral.